Molecule: long non-coding RNA, 914 nt
Organism: Magallana angulata
Lineage: Eukaryota; Metazoa; Mollusca; Bivalvia; Ostreida; Ostreidae
Exons: 3
Source: RefSeq, a predicted model, not a curated record
UGACAUUUUCCCAUCAUUUUUGUUUUAAAAAAAUUUGUGCAAUCCGGAUCCUAUCUAUUCUGUUAACCGGUGCAAUGAAAAAGCCUACUGCAUAUUAUUAGUGAGAGUUAUCUCCCGUAGUCCGUCCACUUAUCGAUCGAUCGGCCUUCUGCGAGAUAUUAAUGCUCAAUUAUUGACCAAUUUUUCUGUCGUUGCUAUUGAUUUAAACAACUGUUAAUAUAGAUCCAAAGAAGCAACUUUUUUCAGUUAAUACCGUAAAGUCUUGUUAUGAAUUGCAAUUGGAUAAUUAGAUUAUAGUUCACCCAAUUUUUUUCAGGCCGUGAUUCAGGAUACUGCGGGAGUAAGACUGCCGAUAUCGUUUGUUAUCCCCGUUGCAUGGCUACACGUAAAUCGGAUGUUUGAAAGAUUAUCAAUAACGACGAUUUAAUUCAAGGAUUUCCAUCAACCACCCUCCGCCGGAUUAGACAAGUUUUGUUGUGUAUUCGCAAAAUAAUCGACAUAAAAGGGUUUUGCGUUCUUUCGCCGCGUGUUUAAACUGGCCCCUUACGUCGAAGCUAGUAUGAUUGUAUUACGACUUUGACAUCUGUUUUUUUUUAUAUAAUCUAUUAUAACAUAUAAAAUAUACAGCAUGACUAUUUAAACAAAAAUAAAGCAGUGUACAUUUGUUCAUUAAUAGUUUUGAUGUUUACGUUGUUUAUAAUCAUUGCAAAACAUGCAGGAUGAAUAAACUCAAUCAUUCGGAGGAUGAAACCCAACGGUUUCCUUUUUUAAACAUUCCAAUGAUGUAUUUUGGGGGGUUUUUGUAUGCCCCAAAUUUAUUUUUAUUUACUUUGAAUAUUUCUAACGUUGAAAGGAGAGCACUUCCGUUUAAAUACGUCUAUAAAUUUGUAAGAUUAUUCAUUAGGUUUGCAAGG